Brassica rapa (field mustard) is the source of this 2608-nucleotide RNA transcript. It is a transcript of the gene named glycerophosphodiester phosphodiesterase GDPDL3, with no coding region annotated. The record is from RefSeq and is a predicted model, not a curated record. NCBI's taxonomy places the organism in Eukaryota, Viridiplantae, Streptophyta, Magnoliopsida, Brassicales, Brassicaceae.
CUAGAACUAAGAAGACCCUCUCUCUCUCUCUAACAAAUUUCCUUCGGUCUCCGAGAAAAAAAAAGAAGAAGAAGAAGCCAAAGUCAACGGCGGGAGGAAGAACGACAGGUUAUUACCAAAUUCCGGCGAGGUAAUCCGACAAUGCGAGGGUUACUUCUACUCUGUGGUGUUGUUCUGAUUCAGCUUCUUGCUGCUCAAACCGAUGCUCAAGGAUCUAAAAGUAAAUGGCAGACGCUCACCGGUUUCUCUCCUCGUGUGAUUGCUCGUGGAGGGUUCUCUGGAUUAUUCCCAGAUUCUAGCAUCGAUGCUUACAACUUCGCAAUGCUGACUAGUGUAGAAGACGUUGUUCUGUGGUGUGAUCUUCAGCUAACCAAAGACGGAGCUGGGAUCUGCUUCCCUGGUUUAACAAUGAGCAAUGCUUCUAAUAUUGAAGCUGCUUACCCAAAUCGUACAAACACUUACCUUGUUAAUGGAGUCUCUACACAGGGCUGGUUCACCAUCGAUUUCUCCUUGAAAGAUCUCAACAAAGUUAACUUAAUUAGAGGUAUAUUAUCUCGGUCAGAGAGAUUCGAUGGAAACGGCUACUCGAUCUUGACGGUUCAAGAUGUAAACACAGAGCUGAAACCACAAGGCCUUUGGUUAAACGUUCAGCACGAGGCCUUCUACGCGCAGCACAAUCUAAGCAUGACCACCUUUCUAACCACAGCUUCGAAAACUGUUAUCAUCGACUUCAUCUCGUCCCCUGAAGUCAAUUUCUUCAAGAAAAUCGCUGGACGUUUCGGGCGUGAAGGACCAAUCUUCGUGUUCCGUUUUCUCGAGAAAGAAACAUUCGAGCCGACGACAAACAGAACAUACGGUUCCAUCUUGAGUAACUUGACUUUCGUCAAAACGUUUGCUUCAGGGAUUCUUGUUCCCAAGUCUUACGUGUUGCCACUAGAUGACAAGCAGUACUUGCUUCCGUCUACAUCUUUAGUUCAAGAUGCUCACAAAGCAGGACUUGAAGUGUUUGUGUCAGGUUUUGCUAAUGAUGUUGAUAUUGCACAUGACUAUAGUUAUGAUCCUGUCUCUGAGUAUCUAUCUUUUGUGGAUAAUGGCAACUUCUCUGUCGAUGGUGUUCUCUCUGACUUUCCCAUAAGUGCAUCUGCAUCCGUCGAAUGCUUCUCCCACAUGGGCAGAAACGCUACAAAACAAGUUGAUUUUCUUGUUAUAUCCAAAAAUGGUGCGAGUGGGGACUAUCCUGGAUGUACAGACUUGGCAUAUGCCAAAGCAAUCAAGGAUGGUGCUGAUGUUAUCGACUGCUCGGUCCAAAUGUCCAGUGACGGUACACCCUUUUGCUCAAGUUCCAUCGAUCUUGGGAAAACCACAAUGGUCGCCCAAACUCCUUUGAGAAACCGUUCAACAAAUGUUCCUGAGAUUAGCUCACUUGGUGGUAUAUACACCUUUAGCCUCACCUGGCCUGAGAUCCAGACCUUGACUCCUGCUAUAUCAAACCCAUACAGAACAUACAAUAUGUUUAGGAACCCAAACGAGAGAAACGCUGGGAAGCUUGUUUCACUUUCUGACUUCCUAAACUUGGCAAAGAACUCCACCUCUCUUUCCGGUGUUUUGAUCAGUGUGGAGAAUGCAGCAUACCUGAGAGAGAACCAAGGGCUAGACGUGGUGAAAGCGGUUCUUGACACACUCACUGAAACCGGCUACACCAACAUCACAACCAAAAAGGUGAUGAUUCAGUCAACAAACAGCUCGGUUCUACUCGACUUCAAGAAGCAGAGCCGGUACGAGACUGUGUACAAAGUUGAAGAAACCAUCCGUGACAUUCUCGACUCUGCUAUAGAAGACAUAAAGAGAUUCGCUAGUGCUGUUGUCAUUGUCAAAUCAUCGGUCUUUCCAGACUCUGAGGGUUUUGUCACGGGGCAAACCAAUGUUGUGGAGAGGCUUCAGAAGUCUCAGCUUCCGGUAUAUGUUGAGCUGUUUCAGAAUGAGUUUGUGUCUCAACCUUAUGACUUCUUCUCUGACGCAAAUGUUGAGAUAAACUCUUAUGUUACUGGAGCUGGUGUGAAUGGAACCGUCACUGAGUUCCCUUUCACAGCUGCUAGAUACAGAAGGAAUAGAUGUUUGGGAAGCAAAGAAACUCCACCUUACAUGGCUCCUGUCCAACCAGGUGGACUCUUACAAGUUGUGAAUCAUGCGUCCUUACCUCCAGCCGAAGCUCCAAACCCGGUUUUCACAGAUGCUGAUGUUACUGAGCCGCCACUACCUCCGGUUACAGCAAAAGCCCCAACCUCAACAACCCCUGGAACACCAUCAAAACCAUCAACCAAUGCACCAGCACCUAGCGGACAAACCCGCCUCACCUUAUCUCUUCUCCUUUCUGUUUUUCCAAUGGCUAUUGCCUCUCUUCUACUUCUGUGAUCAAACCCUUGAUCACACAUCUUUGUUUGUGACAAUGUCAGAUCUUAACAACCGGAACCAUAAUAUUUUCUCAUGUUUAUAUUCUAGUUCUGUCCUAAAAAGAGCAGGAUAUUCUUGGAGUGUAACUUUCCCUCAGAUUCAUUUGUUGUUGUAACAUAUACUCUUACUACUAUUGCCUUGUGUCUUGUUAUAUCUA